AUUUGGAUCAAACAAAUGGCCAUAAGAUGGUUUUUUAACGUUGUUGCAUCAUAUUACAUACAACGGUUGCAUGCUAUCAUUGCUAUAUAUAUAAAUUACCAAAGUGCUCACUGUCAAGGGCUCUAAACUCGAAGUAGGGAGAAUUUGUAUUUUCACAAAGAUGUACCUAACCAAGAUGAUUUUUCAAAAACUAACCACCGGUGAAUUAAUUGAAUUAGUUACCUUAUAAUUUUAUUGAUAUUUUUGCA
RNAcentral lists this long non-coding RNA (248 nucleotides) under Amborella trichopoda. Its description in RNAcentral is "long non-coding RNA (ATRI_LNC002137)". Lineage: Eukaryota; Viridiplantae; Streptophyta; Magnoliopsida; Amborellales; Amborellaceae. The record is from RNAcentral.